RNAcentral lists this ribosomal RNA (445 nucleotides) under uncultured bacterium. Its description in RNAcentral is "SSU rRNA". It matches the Rfam family "Bacterial small subunit ribosomal RNA", at positions 26 to 518 of the family's 1533-position model. The record is from RNAcentral.
AGAGCGAACGCUGGCGGCAGGCUUAACACAUGCAAGUCGAGCGGGCGUAGCAAUACGUCAGCGGCAGACGGGUGAGUAACGCGUGGGAACGUACCUUUUGGUUCGGAACAACACAGGGAAACUUGUGCUAAUACCGGAUAAGCCCUUACGGGGAAAGAUUUAUCGCCGAAAGAUCGGCCCGCGUCUGAUUAGCUAGUUGGUGGGGUAACGGCUCACCAAGGCGACGAUCAGUAGCUGGUCUGAGAGGAUGAUCAGCCACAUUGGGACUGAGACACGGCCCAAACUCCUACGGGAGGCAGCAGUGGGGAAUAUUGGACAAUGGGCGCAAGCCUGAUCCAGCCAUGCCGCGUGAGUGAUGAAGGCCCUAGGGUUGUAAAGCUCUUUUGUGCGGGAAGAUAAUGACGGUACGCAAGAAUAAGCCCGGCUAACUCGUGCCAGCAGCCGC